Long non-coding RNA from Schistocerca americana (American grasshopper), 216 nucleotides. RefSeq lists it as uncharacterized. The record is from RefSeq and is a predicted model, not a curated record. The transcript has 3 exons. NCBI's taxonomy places the organism in Eukaryota, Metazoa, Arthropoda, Insecta, Orthoptera, Acrididae.
UGUGGAUGUAUGCACUGCAAUUUGCGAAACUUUAAAGGACCAAUACUUAAAGGCACCAUCAACAGAAGAAGAGUGGAAUAAAAUUGCCAAAGAAUUUGAUGAACUGUGGCAGUUCCCAAACUGCAUUGGUGCAAUGGAUGGGAAACACAUAGCAUUUGCCCCACCACGAACUGCUGGCUCAACAUACUUCAAUUAUAAAACAUUCCACAGUGUUGU